Rhagoletis pomonella (apple maggot) is the source of this 290-nucleotide long non-coding RNA. RefSeq lists it as uncharacterized. NCBI's taxonomy places the organism in Eukaryota, Metazoa, Arthropoda, Insecta, Diptera, Tephritidae. The transcript has 3 exons. The record is from RefSeq and is a predicted model, not a curated record.
CUGUGUGCAAAAUACACUCUGACUAUUUAUGUUUAACAAUUGAUAAGGCUGUGUUGCUAAAUCAAGAAGGAAAAUUUCAUUAACUUUGCACACGGCGAUGACGCUAUAACUUAGCUUAUAGUAAUUGAUCCAUAGUAUUGAACAACAGUCAGGCAUCGCAAGUUGAGAAAAUACCAAACAAAAAAAUUUACCAUUUUACUGCAAAAAUUCUAACUAAGAAUUAAUAAACAAAAUGGUCUGUAAGCAAUGCAUAGAUGCGUGCCGAUGCACCAGCACUAAGUGCGGCGACA